RNAcentral lists this ribosomal RNA (461 nucleotides) under uncultured bacterium. Its description in RNAcentral is "partial 16S ribosomal RNA". It matches the Rfam family "Bacterial small subunit ribosomal RNA", at positions 338 to 795 of the family's 1533-position model. The record is from RNAcentral.
CCUACGGGAGGCAGCAGUGAGGAAUAUUGGUCAAUGGGCGGGAGCCUGAACCAGCCAAGUCGCGUGAGGGAUGACGGUCCUAUGGAUUGUAAACCUCUUUUGUCGGGGAGCAAUGCCUGCCACGUGUGGCCGGAGGGAGAGUACCCGAAGAAUAAGCAUCGGCUAACUCCGUGCCAGCAGCCGCGGUAAUACGGAGGAUGCGAGCGUUAUCCGGAUUUAUUGGGUUUAAAGGGUGCGUAGGCGGUUGUUUAAGUCAGCGGUGAAAGUUUGUGGCUCAACCAUAAAAUUGCCGUUGAAACUGGCAGUCUUGAGUGUGUGAGAGGUAGGCGGAAUGCGUGGUGUAGCGGUGAAAUGCAUAGAUAUCACGCAGAACUCCGAUUGCGAAGGCAGCUUACUGGGCCAUAACUGACACUGAGGCACGAAAGCGUGGGGAUCAAACAGGAUUAGAUACCCGUGUAGUC